RNAcentral lists this ribosomal RNA (1304 nucleotides) under Escherichia coli. RNAcentral's name for it is "partial 23S ribosomal RNA". It matches the Rfam family "Bacterial large subunit ribosomal RNA", at positions 1661 to 2925 of the family's 2925-position model. The record is from RNAcentral. Lineage: Bacteria; Pseudomonadati; Pseudomonadota; Gammaproteobacteria; Enterobacterales; Enterobacteriaceae.
AGGUGGUCAGGUAGAGAAUACCAAGGCGCUUGAGAGAACUCGGGUGAAGGAACUAGGCAAAAUGGUGCCGUAACUUCGGGAGAAGGCACGCUGAUAUGUAGGUGAAGCGACUUGCUCGUGGAGCUGAAAUCAGUCGAAGAUACCAGCUGGCUGCAACUGUUUAUUAAAAACACAGCACUGUGCAAACACGAAAGUGGACGUAUACGGUGUGACGCCUGCCCGGUGCCGGAAGGUUAAUUGAUGGGGUCAGCGCAAGCGAAGCUCUUGAUCGAAGCCCCGGUAAACGGCGGCCGUAACUAUAACGGUCCUAAGGUAGCGAAAUUCCUUGUCGGGUAAGUUCCGACCUGCACGAAUGGCGUAAUGAUGGCCAGGCUGUCUCCACCCGAGACUCAGUGAAAUUGAACUCGCUGUGAAGAUGCAGUGUACCCGCGGCAAGACGGAAAGACCCCGUGAACCUUUACUAUAGCUUGACACUGAACAUUGAGCCUUGAUGUGUAGGAUAGGUGGGAGGCUUAGAAGUGUGGACGCCAGUCUGCAUGGAGCCGACCUUGAAAUACCACCCUUUAAUGUUUGAUGUUCUAACGUGGACCCGUAAUCCGGGUUGCGGACAGUGUCUGGUGGGUAGUUUGACUGGGGCGGUCUCCUCCUAAAGAGUAACGGAGGAGCACGAAGGUUGGCUAAUCCUGGUCGGACAUCAGGAGGUUAGUGCAAUGGCAUAAGCCAGCUUGACUGCGAGCGUGACGGCGCGAGCAGGUGCGAAAGCAGGUCAUAGUGAUCCGGUGGUUCUGAAUGGAAGGGCCAUCGCUCAACGGAUAAAAGGUACUCCGGGGAUAACAGGCUGAUACCGCCCAAGAGUUCAUAUCGACGGCGGUGUUUGGCACCUCGAUGUCGGCUCAUCACAUCCUGGGGCUGAAGUAGGUCCCAAGGGUAUGGCUGUUCGCCAUUUAAAGUGGUACGCGAGCUGGGUUUAGAACGUCGUGAGACAGUUCGGUCCCUAUCUGCCGUGGGCGCUGGAGAACUGAGGGGGGCUGCUCCUAGUACGAGAGGACCGGAGUGGACGCAUCACUGGUGUUCGGGUUGUCAUGCCAAUGGCACUGCCCGGUAGCUAAAUGCGGAAGAGAUAAGUGCUGAAAGCAUCUAAGCACGAAACUUGCCCCGAGAUGAGUUCUCCCUGACCCUUUAAGGGUCCUGAAGGAACGUUGAAGACGACGACGUUGAUAGGCCGGGUGUGUAAGCGCAGCGAUGCGUUGAGCUAACCGGUACUAAUGAACCGUGAGGCUUAACCUUACAACGCCGAAGCUGUU